AAGGUCAAGGUCACGGUGACCGGAAAUAGUAAAAUCGUUACCGGAUGAUAACUCAAGAACGCUUAUGCCUAGGAUCAUGAAACUUCAUAGGUACAUUGAUCAUGACUCGCAGAUGACCCCUAUUGAUUUUCAGGUCACUAGGUCAAAGGUCAAGGUCACGGUGACCCGAAAUAGUAAAAUGGUUUCUGGAUGGUAACUCAAGAACACUUUUGCCUAGGAUCAUGAAACUUCAUAGGUACAUUUAUCAUGACUCGCAGAUGACACCUAUUGAUUUUCAGGUCACUAGGUAAAAGGUCAAGGUCACGGUGACUCAACUUAGAAAAAUGGUUUCCGGAUGAUAACUCAAGAACGCUUAUGCCUAGGAUCAUGAUACUUCAUAGGUACAUUGAUCAUGACUUGCAGAUGACCCCUAUUGACUUUCAGAUCACUAGGUCAAAGGUCAAGGUCACAGUGCUAAAAAACGUAUUCACACAAUGGCUGCCACUACAACUGACAGCCCAUAUGGGGGGCAUGCAUGUUUUACAAACAGCCCUUGUAUUAAGAGGUUAACAAAAAAAGAGAGAUUAGGCACUUGAACACUCAAUUUCUACUAUGAUUCACAAUUAUGUUUUUAUUAACACA
Molecule: long non-coding RNA, 621 nt
Organism: Dreissena polymorpha
Lineage: Eukaryota; Metazoa; Mollusca; Bivalvia; Myida; Dreissenidae
Exons: 2
Source: RefSeq, a predicted model, not a curated record